GAUGAACGCUGGCGGCGUGCCUAAUACAUGCAAGUCGAGCGAACGGACGAGAAGCUUGCUCCUCUGAUGUUAGCGGCGGACGGGUGAGUAACACGUGGAUAACCUACCUCUAAGACUGGGAUAACUUCGGGAAACCGGAGCUAAUACCGGAUAAUAUUUUGAACCGCAUGGUUCAAAAGUGAAAGACGGUCUUGCUGUCACUUAUAGAUGGAUCCGCGCUGCAUUAGCUAGUUGGUAAGGUAACGGCUUACCAAGGCAACGAUGCAUAGCCGACCUGAGAGUGUGAUCGGCUACACUGGAACUGAGACACGGUCCAGACUCCUAUGGUAGGCAGCAGUAGGGAAUCUUCCGCAAUGGGCGAAAGCCUGACGGAGCAACGCCGCGUGAGUGAUGAAGGUCUUCGGAUCCUAAAACUCUGUUAUUAGGGAAGAACAUAUGUGUAAGUAACUGUGCACAUCUUGACGGUACCCAAUCAGAAAGCCACGGCUAACUACGUG
This 497-nucleotide ribosomal RNA is filed under the name uncultured bacterium. Its description in RNAcentral is "partial 16S ribosomal RNA". It matches the Rfam family "Bacterial small subunit ribosomal RNA", at positions 28 to 507 of the family's 1533-position model. The record is from RNAcentral.